CAUCCCGAUGCUAUUUCUAGAGGAUAGAAAGUUACUUCGGUACAUCGAUGACAGGUGGUGCAUGGUUGUCGUCAGCUCGUGUCGUGAGAUGUUGGUUAAGCCCCGCAACGAGCGCAACCCCUAUUGUUAGUUGCCAUCAUUCAGUUGGGCACUCUAGCGAGACUGCCGGUAAUAAACCGGAGGAAGGUGGGAUGACGUCAAAUCAUCAUGCCCCUUAUGACCUGGGCUACACACGUGCUACAAUGGUUGGUACAACGAGUCGCGAGUCGGUGACGGCGAGCUAAUCUCUUAAAGCCAAUCUCAGUUCGGAUUGUAGGCUGCAACUCGCCUACAUGAAGUCGGAAUCGCUAGUAAUCGCGGAUCAGCACGCCGCGGUGAAUACGUUCCCGGGCCUU
RNAcentral lists this ribosomal RNA (395 nucleotides) under uncultured Streptococcus sp. Its description in RNAcentral is "bacterial SSU rRNA". It matches the Rfam family "Bacterial small subunit ribosomal RNA", at positions 985 to 1382 of the family's 1533-position model. The record is from RNAcentral. Lineage: Bacteria; Bacillati; Bacillota; Bacilli; Lactobacillales; Streptococcaceae.